RNAcentral lists this ribosomal RNA (422 nucleotides) under uncultured bacterium. RNAcentral's name for it is "bacterial SSU rRNA". It matches the Rfam family "Bacterial small subunit ribosomal RNA", at positions 355 to 774 of the family's 1533-position model. The record is from RNAcentral.
UGAGGAAUAUUGGGCAAUGCCCGCAAGGGUGACCCAGCAACGCCACGUGGAGGAUGAAUGUCGUAAGAUUGUAAACUCCUGUUAGAGGGGAAGAAUAGUACCGGUUGGACCGGUAUAUGACUGUACCCUCAGAGAAAGCCCCGGCUAACUACGUGCCAGCAGCCGCGGUAAUACGUAGGGGGCAAGCGUUGUCCGGAUUUACUGGGUGUAAAGGGCGCGCAGGCGGGAUAAAAAGUCAGUGGUGAAAUCCUACAGCUUAACUGUAGAACGGCCUUGGAUACUUUUAUUCUUGAGUUCGGGAGAGAGAGACGGAAUUCCAGGUGUAGUGGUGAAAUACGUAGAUAUCUGGGAGAACACCAGUUGCGAAGGCGGUCUCUUGGUCCGACACUGACGCUGAGGCGCGAAAGCGUGGGGAGCAAACA